This is a long non-coding RNA of Ostrinia furnacalis (Asian corn borer), 230 nucleotides long. RefSeq lists it as uncharacterized. The record is from RefSeq and is a predicted model, not a curated record. NCBI's taxonomy places the organism in Eukaryota, Metazoa, Arthropoda, Insecta, Lepidoptera, Crambidae. The transcript is spliced from 2 exons.
CGGGAUCGCGCCUGCAACAACCACGAUUCGUUCUUACAUGCAUUGUAAUAAGGUGGAGCGAUCAAAGGGCGGAUUUAACGCGCCAAUGCAGUUUCGUCGAAUAUUUCUGGCGCGAUCACAAUUUUAUUUUGGCACCCAGAACACAUGGAAAUUUGUGAAAAACAUUUCAAAGGAUCAGGAUUGAAGAGGGACUAUUAAAAUUAUUAAAACCAUUUUAUUUGUUAGACAAA